This 497-nucleotide ribosomal RNA is filed under the name uncultured bacterium. RNAcentral describes it as "partial 16S ribosomal RNA". It matches the Rfam family "Bacterial small subunit ribosomal RNA", at positions 28 to 507 of the family's 1533-position model. The record is from RNAcentral.
GAUGAACGCUGGCGGCGUGCCUAAUACAUGCAAGUCGAGCGAACGGACGAGAAGCUUGCUUCUCUGAUGUUAGCGGCGGACGGGUGAGUAACACGUGGAUAACCUACCUAUAAGACUGGGAUAACUUCGGGAAACCGGAGCUAAUACCGGAUAAUAUUUUGAACCGCAUGGUUCAAAAGUGAAAGACGGUCUAGCUGUCACUUAUAGAUGGAUCCGCGCUGCAUUAGCUAGUUGGUAAGGUAACGGCUUACCAAGGCAACGAUGCAUAGCCGACCUGAGAGGGUGAUCGGCCACACUGGAACUGAGACACGGUCCAGACUCCUACGGGAGGCAGCAGUAGGGAAUCUUCCGCAAUGGGCGAAAGCCUGACGGGGCAACGCCGCGUGAGUGAUGAAGGUCUUCGGAUCGUAAAACUCUGUUAUUAGGGAAGAACAUAUGUGUAAGUAACUGUGCACAUCUUGACGGUACCUAAUCAGAAAGCCACGGCUAACUACGUG